CCCAGGCCUUGUACACACCGCCCGUCACAUCAUGAAAGCCGGCUGCACCCUAAGUCGUUCCUUAAAAGACGCCGAAGGUAUGGCUGGUGAUUGGGAUG
This 98-nucleotide ribosomal RNA is filed under the name uncultured bacterium. RNAcentral describes it as "partial 16S ribosomal RNA". It matches the Rfam family "Bacterial small subunit ribosomal RNA", at positions 1373 to 1482 of the family's 1533-position model. The record is from RNAcentral.